Molecule: ribosomal RNA, 451 nt
Filed under: uncultured bacterium
Lineage: Bacteria
Description: partial 16S ribosomal RNA
Rfam family: Bacterial small subunit ribosomal RNA
Source: RNAcentral
GUGGGGAAUAUUGGACAAUGGGGGGAACCCUGAUCCAGCCAUGCCGCGUGUGUGAAGAAGGCCUUUUGGUUGUAAAGCACUUUAAGCGAGGAGGAGGCUACCGAGAUUAAUACUCUUGGAUAGUGGACGUUACUCGCAGAAUAAGCACCGGCUAACUCUGUGCCAGCAGCCGCGGUAAUACAGAGGGUGCAAGCGUUAAUCGGAUUUACUGGUCGUAAAGCGCGCGUAGGUGGCCAAUUAAGUCAAAUGUGAAAUCCCCGAGCGUAACUUGGGAAUUGCAUUCGAUACUGGUUGGCUAGAGUAUGGGAGAGGAUGGUAGAAUUCCAGGUGUAGCGGUGAAAUGCGUAGAGAUCUGGAGGAAUACCGAUGGCGAAGGCAGCCAUCUGGCCUAAUACUGACACUGAGGUGCGAAAGCAUGGGGAGCAGACAGGAUUAGAUACCCGAGUAGUCC